AUGAUGAGUUCUCCAGUCAGCCUACAGGAAAGGCCAUAGUACUGAGUUUGCCCUUGUUCGCAUUGAGAAUGAUCUCCUUCGGGCAGUUGACAAGGAUGGUGCAGCAGUGUUGGUACUCCUGGAUUUAAGAGCUGCUUUUGACACCAUUGAUCAGGGAAGACUCCUUGAUACCCUUGAGCAGAGAUUUGGUGUUAAUGGCGAUGCACUAUUCUGGCUGAAAUCCUAUCUGAUAGGUCGAUACCAAUGUGUCGAUGUGGGCGGUAUUAGAUCUGAGAUGACAGAAAAUACUUCAGUCACAUUUGCAUACAUUACAAUCCAUCAGCAUUAUCUGGCUGCCGUCCUUUUGUUCCAUUACAGUGCACUGUAUAAGUCUGUGCCAGCUGCAAACAAAUAAAAAACACUGUUAAAAGUUAUCUGUAUUACAUGUUUUCUGCAUCAUCCUGCACAGAUCGUCACACCUUAAAGAUCACAAUCCAAAGACGUAUUAUCUUUGGGAGAUGACGUCCAUUUGGCAGCGUCAACCCACAAACUAUCUCUAUUUGCUGAUCUAUGGUAACAAACAUAUGUUUGUAUAUCUGAAAAGUGCAAAACAUUAUGCAAAAUCAGUUAUACUCGCACAAAGAUUUGGGGCCAACACAUGACUAGUAUCAAACACAAGUUUAAAGUAGGAACAGUUGUCAAACAAAGGUGAUUCAAGUACAACAAAUCAGAUCAUGCAGACAUUUAAUUUUAAUCUUACUUAUUUUUGCUACAAGAGCGCAAUGUUCUUCAGAAAAAGCACUUCCUGUCAUCAAAAAGGAAAGAACUCAAUCUGCUGUAUGUAAUAAUCAUAAGCAUGAAAUACAACAUAUAAAUUUCAAAAUUACCUCAUCUCUUGAUGUUUUUUGUUUGUUUGUAGAAAUCCAGACUGCAUCAAAUCUGGGUAGCCAUUUCAACAGUAAAAGCAGUACAGACAAAAUCCUUGACAGUCAGUUUCCAUAGACAUGCACAUGAUGGAUAUCAUGAAGUAUCAUGCUACACUUUAGAGAAGCAAUAUUGACAAAAUCCUUGACGGUCAGUUUCCAUAUACCGUACAUACAAAUAAUACAAAAUAUUUGUACAUUCUCAGUUAUAUGGAAGUUUAAUUUAUUGUAAAACAAUAGUAUUGUAUAUUAUUAUGUCAAUGACUUAUUACUGCCUCUAAAUGUACUGCCACUCUAACAUGUAAAGUCAUUGUAUUACUUCACAGUAAUCAUUGGGUAAUUGGAAUAUAUUUGUAAACAUAAUUAAUUUUAUAAUACAAUUGUUUAUCUUA
This is a long non-coding RNA of Haliotis rubra (blacklip abalone), 1294 nucleotides long. RefSeq lists it as uncharacterized. The transcript is spliced from 2 exons. The record is from RefSeq and is a predicted model, not a curated record. NCBI's taxonomy places the organism in Eukaryota, Metazoa, Mollusca, Gastropoda, Lepetellida, Haliotidae.